RNAcentral lists this ribosomal RNA (468 nucleotides) under uncultured bacterium. RNAcentral describes it as "partial 16S ribosomal RNA". It matches the Rfam family "Bacterial small subunit ribosomal RNA", at positions 28 to 507 of the family's 1533-position model. The record is from RNAcentral.
GACGAACGCUGGCGGCGUGCUUAACACAUGCAAGUCGAACGGAAAGACCCGGCGUUUGUGGGGUUCUCGAUUGGCGAACGCGGGAGUAACACGUGAGUAACCUGCCCCUGACUGUGUGAUAAAUUCAGGAAACUGGGGCUAAUACCGGAUAGGAUCUCCUGCUGCAUGGGGGGGGUUGGAAAGUGUCGGCGGUGGGGGAUGGUCUCGCGGGUUAUCAGCUGGUUGGUGUGGUAGGUGCUUACCAAGGCUUUGAAGGGUAGCCCGCAUGAGAGGGUGAACGGGGACAAUGGUACUGCGGUAGGGAGCAGAAUGCUAUGGGCGGCAGCAGGGGGGAAUCUGGCACAACGGGGGGGAGCCUGAUGCAGAAAUGUUGCGUGCGGGAUGAUGGCUUACGGGUUGUAAACAGAUUUGGACUGUGACGAAGAGUGAGUGACGGUAAUGGGUAAAGAAGCACCGGCUAACUACGUG